CCCUUGUGUGCAGCCAAGGCCCAGAGCAACGGCUCGGUGCUAUCAGCCGCCCACGCCCGGCAGUCUGGUCCUGCGAGAUAGUGCUGGAUGCGGGGGGGUGCAAGGAAAUUUGCACUGCCCUGGUGGAGGAUAACGCAGAACGGGCUGAGAAGCGGGUGCCUAGAGCCAGCCCUGCAGGAAAUAUUUGCUCAGAUGCUGUGAGUUUUGCGACAUGGGGAGGCUCCGUUCUCAAGAAAGAAAAGAUAUGACAAAGAAGACACAAAAGCCCCCUCUUUACCGGUCCCUUGGUUCCGGGGCUUCCCCUGGAAAUGGUUUCCUUCCUCACAAAGCCCACCUGAGCACCAACCCAUGGUUUCGCCAACUAACAGCAGCCUGCACGGUCAGCAGAAGCACAGCUUCCCAACCUCCUUCCAACCCGAGGGGUUGGCAGCCCUUCAAGUCCAGGCGCCUCUUGUGACUGGUUUUGUAGAUUAGUACAAGAAAGCCCUACCCAGCCGCUCUGUGGACUGAGGACCGGGUCUCCCCAGAGUCUAGAUCCGGUUUCUGCUGCUAAGGCAAGAGCGUCUGCCGCAGAUGCUCCCUGGCUGUCGCUGGCAACAUCUGGGACUCCUCGAGUGUGGCCUUGAGCUUCCCCAGGUUGCAGUCGCCCUCUUCUUCCUGGCUCUGUCAGAGCAGCCCCAAGCCCCACAGCCAUGGCAACCCAAGCUCAGAAAAGGCAGAUGGUUGGGCAGACAGUUUUGUUCCCAUCCUGCCACCUGCGAACCUGAGAUGAUUUCUGGUCUGUGUUGCUGGAGCGCCUGCUGUUGGGGCGUAGUAAAUGAGUCCUGGCCUUGGCUGUGUUUCUGCAGGGGGAGAAUAAAGACAACUCCAGCAGGUAUCUACUCUACUGUUGGAUGCAUUUCAGUUUUUGCAUCUCUGAGUUUGCUCAUGUGGGUAGAGCGCACGCACACACACUCAGGAGCCGUGAGAGUUGGUCCUCUCAUGUGAAAAGUGCAUGUACAUACAAACAAUGCAAGGAACCAGGGCCACCGAACAAG
Molecule: long non-coding RNA, 1037 nt
Filed under: Fukomys damarensis (Damara mole-rat)
Lineage: Eukaryota; Metazoa; Chordata; Mammalia; Rodentia; Bathyergidae
Description: lncRNA (ENSFDAG00000029633.1)
Source: RNAcentral